CCUACGGGAGGCAGCAGUGGGGAAUUUUCCGCAAUGGGCGAAAGCCUGACGGAGCAACGCCGCGUGAGGGAUGGAGGCCUCUGGGCUGUAAACCUCUUUUAUCAAGGAAGAAGAUCUGACGGUACUUGAUGAAUAAGCCAUGGCUAAUUCCGUGCCAGCAGCCGCGGUAAUACGGGAGUGGCAAGCGUUAUCCGGAAUUAUUGGGCGUAAAGCGUCCGCAGGCGGUCUUGUAAGUCUGUCGUUAAAGCGUGGAGCUCAACUCCAUUUCGGCGGUGGAAACUACAAGACUAGAGUGUGGUAGGGGCAGAGGGAAUUCCCGGUGUAGCGGUGAAAUGCGUAGAUAUCGGGAAGAACACCAGUGGCGAAGGCGCUCUGCUGGGCCAUAACUGACGCUCAUGGACGAAAGCUAGGGGAGCGAAAGGGAUUAGAUACCCCUGUAGUCCUAGCCGUAAACGAUGAACACUAGGUGUCGGGGGAAUCGACCCCCUCGGUGUCGUAGCUAACGCGUUAAGUGUUCCGCCUGGGGAGUACGCACGCAAGUGUGAAACUCAAAGGAAUUGACGG
Molecule: ribosomal RNA, 564 nt
Filed under: uncultured bacterium
Lineage: Bacteria
Description: bacterial SSU rRNA
Rfam family: Bacterial small subunit ribosomal RNA
Source: RNAcentral